Molecule: ribosomal RNA, 449 nt
Filed under: uncultured soil bacterium
Lineage: Bacteria
Description: bacterial SSU rRNA
Rfam family: Bacterial small subunit ribosomal RNA
Source: RNAcentral
AGAUUGAACGCUGGCGGCAUGCCUUACACAUGCAAGUCGAACGGUAACGCGGGGCAACCUGGCGACGAGUGGCGAACGGGUGAGUAAUGCAUCGGAACGUGCCCAAUAGUGGGGGAUAGCUCGGCGAAAGCCGGAUUAAUACCGCAUACGACCUACGGGUGAAAGCGGGGGAUCGCAAGACCUCGCGCUAAUGGAGCGGCCGAUGUCAGAUUAGGUUGUUGGUGGGGUAAAAGCCUACCAAGCCGACGAUCUGUAGCUGGUCUGAGAGGACGACCAGCCACACUGGGACUGAGACACGGCCCAGACUCCUACGGGAGGCAGCAGUGGGAAUUUGGACAAUGGGGCAACCUGAUCCAGCCAUGCCGCGUGCGGAAGAAGGCCUUCGGUGUAAACCGCUUUGUCUAGGAAGAACGCUCAGCUAAUACUGGUAAGUGACGUACCUAGAAGAA